RNAcentral lists this ribosomal RNA (492 nucleotides) under uncultured bacterium. Its description in RNAcentral is "partial 16S ribosomal RNA". It matches the Rfam family "Bacterial small subunit ribosomal RNA", at positions 29 to 507 of the family's 1533-position model. The record is from RNAcentral.
AGUGAACGCUGGCGGUAGGCCUAACACAUGCAAGUCGAACGGCAGCACAGUAAGAGCUUGCUCUUACGGGUGGCGAGUGGCGGACGGGUGAGGAAUACAUCGGAAUCUACUUUUUCGUGGGGGAUAACGUAGGGAAACUUACGCUAAUACCGCAUACGACCUACGGGUGAAAGCAGGGGAUCUUCGGACCUUGCGCGAUUGAAUGAGCCGAUGUCGGAUUAGCUAGUUGGCGGGGUAAAGGCCCACCAAGGCGACGAUCCGUAGCUGGUCUGAGAGGAUGAUCAGCCAAAAUGGAAAUGAGAAACGGGCCAGACUCCUAAGGGAGGCAGCAGUGGGGAAUAAUGGACAAUGGGCGCAAGCCUGAUCCAGGCAUACCGCGUGGGGGAAGAAGGCCUUCGGGUUGUAAAGCCCUUUUGGUGGGAAAGAAAAGCAGCAGGUUAAUAACCCGCUGUUCUGACGGUACCCAAAGAAUAAGCACCGGCUAACUUCGUG